CAAAAAGUGAACCUCGAGACAACCAAAUUUUCUGAAACAAGGUGGAGUGUACUUCACGUCGAGAGUUGGGCAUGGAAGUGGACCGCAAGUACAAAGCAAGUGAAUUACAUCUAAUAAGAAGUGAGCUGCUUUGAGAUGUUCUUGUUUGUGUUUGCCAAGUGGGUCACGGAAAAGUUAUAUAGCAAACAUCGCAGAAGAACAAAUUGAGCUACAAAGCAUACACAACUACUGAUAGUUUUACACGGCCACUCACCAAUACAAUAUCUGUACUCUCCACCGGCCGAACCGCACAAAAUUGUACGGGGUACACUUUCACUAAGACAAAACUAACUAUCCUGGUGAUGACGUGCAGUUUUUACAAAGAACUAAUGAAGUGCAGUUUUCAGCACAACAAAAUUGAGGAACCGGCCAUCCAACCGUACUGCAUCACUUCACCUUUUCCUGCAAAAAUAAGUAAAAUGAACCUCAAUAGCAAACCACAUCGGACUUACAUUUACACUUUUUUUCUUUUCAGAAAAGCACAAAAAUCAAGGAAGUGCAGAAGAGCACUAUGUGUCUCCUGACGCUCUACUCACCAUGCUUGCAGUAGGCCGUGGGGAAGGGAGAUGCAGUGGGGAGAGGAAGGCCAUGGGAACCUCCAUACCGGUCCAGCGAGCUGCUCAUGAUGCGCCCGCGAGCUGCACCCCAAGCGAGUGAAAUACGAAAUGGU
This 709-nucleotide long non-coding RNA is filed under the name Triticum aestivum (bread wheat). RNAcentral's name for it is "long non-coding RNA (TAES_LNC011374)". Lineage: Eukaryota; Viridiplantae; Streptophyta; Magnoliopsida; Poales; Poaceae. The record is from RNAcentral.